RNAcentral lists this ribosomal RNA (468 nucleotides) under uncultured bacterium. RNAcentral describes it as "partial 16S ribosomal RNA". It matches the Rfam family "Bacterial small subunit ribosomal RNA", at positions 28 to 507 of the family's 1533-position model. The record is from RNAcentral.
GACGAACGCUGGCGGCGUGCUUAACACAUGCAAGUCGAACGGAAAGGCCCUGCUUUUGUGGGGUGCUCGAGUGGCGAACGGGUGAGUAACACGUGAGUAACCUGCCCUUGACUUUGGGAUAACUUCAGGAAACUGGGGCUAAUACCGGAUAGGAGCUCCUGCUGCAUGGUGGGGGUUGGAAAGUUUCGGCGGUUGGGGAUGGACUCGCGGCUUAUCAGCUUGUUGGUGGGGUAGUGGCUUACCAAGGCUUUGACGGGUAGCCGGCCUGAGAGGGUGACCGGCCACAUUGGGACUGGGGUAGGGCCCAGACUCCUACGGGAGGCAGCAGGGGGGAAUAUUGCACAGUGGGCGGAAGCCUGAUGCAGCAACGCCGCGUGCGGGAUGACGGCCUUCGGGUUGUAAACCGCUUUCGCCUGUGACGAAGCGUGAGUGACGGUAAUGGGUAAAGAAGCACCGGCUAACUACGUG